UUUUAUGGCCAUACACCCAGAAUAUGCCUGAUUUGGCCAGAUCUCAGGAAUUCAGCAGGGUCUAGCUUGGUUAGUAUUUGACUGGGAGAAAGAAAUAGAUAAAUGUAAAAA
RNAcentral lists this ribosomal RNA (111 nucleotides) under Nannospalax galili (Upper Galilee mountains blind mole rat). Lineage: Eukaryota; Metazoa; Chordata; Mammalia; Rodentia; Spalacidae. The record is from RNAcentral.